RNAcentral lists this transfer RNA (66 nucleotides) under Karusasaurus polyzonus. RNAcentral's name for it is "tRNA-Tyr". Lineage: Eukaryota; Metazoa; Chordata; Lepidosauria; Squamata; Cordylidae. The record is from RNAcentral.
AUAAGAGUAGGGCUCCCUACGUCUUCAGGGCUACAACCUGCCGCCUAAGCUCGGCCAUCUUACCUG